Molecule: ribosomal RNA, 492 nt
Filed under: uncultured bacterium
Lineage: Bacteria
Description: partial 16S ribosomal RNA
Rfam family: Bacterial small subunit ribosomal RNA
Source: RNAcentral
AGUGAACGCUGGCGGUAGGCCUAACACAUGCAAGUCGAACGGCAGCACAGUAAGAGCUUGCUCUUACGGGUGGCGAGUGGCGGACGGGUGAGGAAUACAUCGGAAUCUACUUUUUCGUGGGGGAUAACGUAGGGAAACUUACGCUAAUACCGCAUACGACCUACGGGUGAAAGCAGGGGAUCUUCGGACCUUGCGCGAUUGAAUGAGCCGCUGUCGGAUUAGCUAGUUGGCGGGGUAAAGGCCCACCAAGGCGAGGAUCCGUAGCUGGUCUGAGAGGAUGAUCAGCCACACUGGAACUGGGACACGGUCCAGAGUCCUAAGGGAGGCAGCAGUGGGGAAUAUUAGACAAUGGGCGCAAGCCUGAUCCAGCCAUACCGCGUGGGUGAAGAAGGCCUUCGGGUUGUAAAGCCCUUUUGUUGGGAAAGAAAAGCAGCAGGUUAAGACCCCGCUGUUCUGACGGUACCCAAAGAAUAAGCACCGGCUAACUUCGUG